UACGUAGGGAGCGAGCGUUGUCCGGAAUUACUGGGUGUAAAGGGAGCGUAGGCGGGCGAGAAAGUUGAAUGUUAAAUCUACCGGCUUAACUGGUAGCUGCGUUCAAAACUUCUUGUCUUGAGUGAAGUAGAGGCAGGCGGAAUUCCUAGUGUAGCGGUGAAAUGCGUAGAUAUUAGGAGGAACACCAGUGGCGAAGGCGGUCUGCUGGGCUUUAACUGACGCUGAGGCUCGAAAGCGUGGGGAGCAAACAGG
Molecule: ribosomal RNA, 252 nt
Filed under: uncultured bacterium
Lineage: Bacteria
Description: partial 16S ribosomal RNA
Rfam family: Bacterial small subunit ribosomal RNA
Source: RNAcentral